RNAcentral lists this ribosomal RNA (253 nucleotides) under uncultured bacterium. RNAcentral's name for it is "partial 16S ribosomal RNA". It matches the Rfam family "Bacterial small subunit ribosomal RNA", at positions 524 to 776 of the family's 1533-position model. The record is from RNAcentral.
UACGUAGGGGGCUAGCGUUGUCCGGAUUUAUUGGGCGUAAAGAGCGUGUAGGCGGCCAGGUAGGUCUGCUGUGAAAACUCGAGGCUCAACCUCGAGACGUCGGCGGAAACCAUCUGGCUAGAGUCCGGAAGAGGCGAGUGGAAUUCCUGGUGUAGCGGUGAAAUGCGCAGAUAUCAGGAGGAACACCUAUUGCGAAGGCAGCUCGCUGGGACGUAACUGACGCUGAGACGCGAAAGCGUGGGGCGCAAACAGG